GUUCCGCCACGUUUGAGCGGGCGAGCCCGGCGGCCGGGAGACGCCAGGGAACGGGGCUGGUGGGGGUACAAAGGCUCGGUUCCGUCGCCUUCAGCCCUGCGGUGGGGGCACGGGGCAAGUGAGGGGACGGCAGAGGCGGCGUUCGGUGUGAGGCUGCGCCCUGGGCUCCUGAAAAUCCAGGGCUGCAGUCAUUUGAAGGCUUGACUGGGGCUGGAGGAUUUUCAUCCAAGAUGGCUCACUCACCCAGCUGUUGGCAGGAGACCUCGGUUCUUUGACUUCUCCGUAAGACUACGGAGUCUCACUCUGUUGCCAGGCUGGAGUGCAGUGGCACGAUCUCGGCUCACCACAACCUCUGCCACCUGGGUUCAAGCGAUUCUCCUGCCUCAGCCUCCUGAGUAGCUGGGAUUACAGGCAAGUGCCACCACGCCCAGCUAAUUUUUGUAUUUUUAGUAGAGACAGGAAUUCACCAUGUUGGCCAGGAUGGUCUUGAUCUCCUGACUUCGUGAUCCACCUGCCUCGGCCUCCCAAAGUGCUGGGAUUACAGGCAUGAGCCACUACACCCAGCUGAGCAUUUGACAUUAUUAACUAGCGCCUGGUUCUUUCUCCUGGGACUCCUAUUUUUCUGACUAUUUCUUCUCAUUUCCUUUGCUUAUACUUUUCCUUUGUGUACCUCUUAAACCCUGGUGUUUUCUGGCAUCUGAUCUCAGAAUUCUUCUCUCUCAUCUUUCUACACUCUCUCUAGUAGGUCUCCUUCACUUUGACCACUGUAAUUCCCACCCAAACACAAUGACUCUGCAUCUUUAUCGCUCACUUAGGCCACACCCCUGAGCUGUAGACAUGUAUCAUCAGCUCCCUUCUGGAUGUUCUUGCAUGACUCAAAUGGAACUUCACACGUUUCCCCCUCAGAACAGCUCUGCCUUCUGUGUUUCUGACAUUGGUGAAUAAUUAGUGUCGUCAUCUACCUAGGCACAGAUGCCAGAGACCUGGCUGUCGGCCUCCACUUCUCCCUCUCUUUACUGCCUCAUCCAGUCACCAAAGCCUUUGAGCCUACAGUGUUACGGACAUGUGCCAUUUUCUCCAUCCCUGGCAGCUGCGGUGCAGCCAUAUGACACGUAUUUGGCCAAUUGGUUGCUCACUUUGGAUUUUAAAUUUGGUUUCCCUUCUUCUAUCCAUGGCCUUUCAGUUUCGUUUCCAAAGAAUGCUUUUUAAAAAAUAUUAGUCAGGCCAGGCAUAGUGGCUCAUGCCUAUCAUCCCAACACUUGGGGAGGCAGAAGCCAAGGGAUCACUUGAGGCCAGGAAUUUGAGACCAGCGUGGGCAAGAUAGCAAGACCCUAUCUCUACAAAUUAAAAAAAAAAUUAGCCAUGUUUGGUGGUUCACACUUGUAGUUCCAGCUACUUGGAAAGCUGAGGCAGGAGGAUUGCUUAACCAGGAGUAUGAGGCUGCAGUGAGAUUAUACCACUGUGCUCCAGCCUGGGCAGCAGAGUGAGACCUUGUCUCUUAAAAAAAAAAAGUUAGAUCAUGUCACUCCCUGCUCAACAUUGUCUAAUAACUUUCCAUCAUAUUUAGUAUCAAAUUCAAAGUCAUGAUUGGUUGCCCGGAACAAUAAUGUUCUACAUGAUCAACUCGUAGCUCACUCUCCAUGUUCACUUCUGCCAUUUUCCUAUUGCUCAACUGCUCUCUAGCCCCCAUGUUGUGCCUACAGCCUGCCAAGCACACUCUGGACUCAGACAGCUGUUCCUUUUGCCUGACAUGUUCUUCUCACUGAUUUUUUUUUUUUUUUUUUUUUUUUUUUGAGACAGGAUCUCCCUCUGUCACCCAGGCUGGAGUACAGUGGUGCCAUCUCAGCUUACUGCAGCCUCAACCUCCUGGGGUCUAAGUGAUUCUCUCACUUCAGCCUCCUAAAUAGCUGUAACUACAGGCAUGCACUACCCCCAGCCCUGGCUACUUUUUUAAAAUUAUUAGUAGAGACGUAGUCUCCCUGUGUUGCCUGGGCUGGUCUCUAACCCCUGAGCUCAAGUGAUCCUCCCACCUUGGCCUCCCAAAGUGCUGGGAUUACAGGCAUGAGCCACCGCGCCUGGCCCUUCUCACUGCCUCUUACGUGAUUCACUCUCUUACUGCAGGUCUUCACUCAAAUGAGAGAGAGACUUUCUAUGACCAUCCUACUGAGUAAAAUAGCCACCACUCUCCCAAGUCAUUCUCUGAUCCGUACCCUACUUCAUUAUUGUUCAAAGCACUUCCCACGGUCCAAUGUUGUAUUGUUUACUCAUUUGCUUACUGGUCUAUUUUCUACCUCUCUGACUAGAAUGUAAACUCCACAGUGGCCAUGGGACAUGCCAGCAACACCUCCUUGUCAUCUAACGAUCAAAAUCAUGCAAUGCAUUGAUACCCCCUUGCGGGAAAGGUGCAGUGCAACCUCCAAAUGAGAACCAGUGCUAGAAGUGAACUGGACACAUAGGAAAUUGUGGUUAGAGAUGCAGAUGCUCCCUUUUUAAUUAUUAUUAUUAUUUGUAGAGAUGGGGUCCUGCUGUGUUGCCAAGGCUGGUCUCUAACUCCUAGGCUCAAGAGAUCCUCCCGCCUCAGACUCCCAAAGUGUUAGGAUUACAGGCAUGAGCCACCAUACCCGGCCUCAUUUUUAUUGACCUGAUUUCCGUCAUAGCCUGCAAGAUGCUUUGUUUUGAUUGUUUAUUUUCACUUCUGCCUCCUUCGGUAAACCUGUGAGUGUCCUGAGUGGGGGUCAAGAUUUGUUUGAGUGUAUGAUCUAAUCUGAAUACACACGUGUGUGUGCAUGUGUGUAUUUUUCUCCCUGUUGGAUUGCUCAGCCUCCACAGCCUGUUCUUCUCCACUGUGAUACACCAGGUGUCCUUCAGCAGGUGUAGUGAAACAAAGCAGAGGCUUUGACGUCACCCACGCUGGCCCUCGUGUGACUCACGGCCCAGCCCUGAGCCAGAAUCUGCUCCUGUUAUUACGGGUAUGAUUGUCUCCAUUUUACAAAUGAAGAUAUGGAGGCUCAUAUUCUUCAUCUGCAACUCAUUGAUGGAUAACCAGGUAGCCCUUGCAACCUAACGUUUGCUGUUGCCUCCAUUACAAAAACCUCUAUGCUCAGCCCUCAGUCAUGAUUUUAGAGAGGGCUCCUCAGGUAUCAAGAGAAAAUGCUGACCGACAGUGUCAUUAUUUCAGGUCGAGGUGACUGAUAGCCCUGCAGUCCUCUCUUCUCUCUAUGCUGAGGGAGAAUGACCUUUGAUUUGUGGCACUCACAGGGGCUGGCAAGGCCUGCAGUCAUUUGCAGCUGAUUCUGCUGCUUUGUGUCAUGAGACAUUAAGUGACCUGCUUGGAUUCACUGAACUAAUUAGUGGCAUAGCUGGGAUUGGAACUCAAUAUUCCCUUCUCCAAAUGAUGGGGUUCCCUCUGUGCUUGGUGUCUUCUUGACUUCUAAUGUGUCUGAAAUGCAUAAUUGUUAGAACCCUGGGCCCCUGUAACCUUCACCGGUCAACUCUCAUCACCCCAAGCACCCUGAUGGAUUCGCGGAGCACAGAGGACAAUCCCAGCAAACGUGUUUAUCAUCAAUGAGGGCUUUUGUUGCCGUCUCUUGUACCUUGGUGACUUGGGAUAGAGCACACAUAAACCUCCAGGAUUAUUUUUCACCCUUUUAGUUUAAGGACUAGGAUGAAUGAACAACUCUUGGCCUAUUUUGUUAACCUUAACUCACACCUACUUUUUGCCCUGUGACCGAGGCAUGAAAAUACGUGUUUUUUUCCUUUAGGCCUAGAACAAAGCUGCCACCUUCCCCCACAGUGGUGUUUUUUAAAUGCUUGGUUAUGACCAAUUAGAGGAUUGUAAAAUCAGUGUAGUGGGGUGACGAGCAUUAAAAAAUAGAACAGGAUAUAAAAUAAAAAAGUAGUAGUAGAGUACUGUUCUGUGAAAUCUUUUAUCAGUCAUGUGUGCAUAUGAAUGAAUGUGUACAUGUGUAUGUGUAUAUGUGUGCAUGUGCAUGUGAUCACAAUUUAAAAUGUAUUUCUCAUUAUACUUUGGGGUAAAAUAAUAGGUGUUUUCAACUUGCAGGUGAUAAUUAUGAUUUGGCAGAAUGUAUCCGAAUGUCAUACCACUCCAGGUAGAUUAGAGUCUCUGGAGGGAGGGGCUAGGUGUGUAUGUUUUUAAGUUCCUCAAUUGAUUAUGGCAUUAUCUUUCUUGCUACCUCCCCAACUCUCUCUCCUCUGUCUCUCUUUCACACACACACAUACACACACACACACACACUCCACAGUUGUUGCUAACAACCAUAUCUUAUUCAUCUGAGUAUCCCCCUAUGACUGAAGUAGUGGCUGGCACUCCCAGGGCACUCAAUAAAUGCUUAUAAUUGUCAAAUGGCAAAGGCUUGAAGGCUAAAAAGUGAAAUUUAUAUAGUUUUCUUUCAUCAUGCCCAGCACACAUUUUGCACUUGGUAAUGCCACUCAGUGUGUUCAUGAUGACUUAUGGAAAACAAAAAUACAAUAAUGAGAAGCCAAAUGGCUAAAACACGCAGGUGUAAUGAAUAGCCAUUGGACUGAGCUGGCCUUCACCACCCCAGAAUAAAGCUCUUUCCCCCUCAAUGCACUUGAACAAACCAAUCCAAACCAGGAAACCUCAGAAAAGGAGUGACUGUCACCUCCCUAAGUAAUAGAGUCGAUCUCCUCUUAACCUUGGUGACCCUCAAAAACCAGUAAAUUCCUUCUUUUAUCUAUCCUAAAUCCUUUAUAUUACCCUUUAAGCCAAUUUUCUGUUGUACUGUAUUCAAUGGGAAUUGAAAACAGCUGGUCACCAUCUGCUGUAGAUUAAUUCUUCAUGUACUUGAAGCCUAUAAUUAGGUCAUUCCUCAGCCUUCUCUUCUCCAGGCUAAAUAUCUUAUUUCCUUUAGACUUUCCCAAAAGGUUUUAUUUUCCAAUUAUUUAAUUGUCUUCAUAGUGUUACUCUCAAUACCAGGAUCCCUGUCUCCACACACCUCAAGUUGAGAAGGCUGAUCAGUGUGAAGGGUCAUGGGCAUUUAAAGUCACCACUGCCACUUUCAGGGAGUUCUUUUCUGUGAGUUGUUUAUUUUCUGAGGGCCAUUUAGAAAUGCACAGCAGCCUUCAACUGAACAGGACCCUGUCACCCUGAAAUUGGAAACAUGAAGCAGAAUAUUAUGCUUUACUUCUCCCCUAAUUUCAGAUACAGAUAAGCUGGACUAUAACCUUGAUUUUGCAUCCCAAAGUCUCUGAAUUAGCCAGUGCAAAUUGUGGGAUGUAAUUCUCAUCCUCAAUUAUAAAUGUGUCAUUAUAAUAGCAUUCUUUUUUUUUUUUUUUUUUUUUUUUUUGCGACAGAGUCUCGCUCUGUCGCCCAAGCUGGAGUGCAAUGGCGCAAUCUCAGCUCAUUGCAACCUCCUCCGCCUCCUGGGUUCAAGCGAUUCUCCUGCUUCAGCUUCUUGAGUAGCUGGGAUUACAGGCGCACGCCACCAUGCCCGACUAAUUUUUGUAUUUUUAGUAGAGACGGGGUUUCACCAUGUUAGUCAGCUGGUCUCAAAUUCCGGACCUCAUGAUCCGCCCACCUCGGCCUCC
RNAcentral lists this long non-coding RNA (5568 nucleotides) under Homo sapiens (human). RNAcentral describes it as "non-protein coding LINC01301:15". The record is from RNAcentral. Lineage: Eukaryota; Metazoa; Chordata; Mammalia; Primates; Hominidae.